CCCAUGAACCUUUACUGUAGCUUUGCAUUGGACUUUGAACCAAUCUGUGUAGGAUAGGUGGGAGGCUUUGAAGCGGGGACGCCAGUUCUGGUGGAGCCAUCCUUGAAAUACCACCCUGGUUCGUUUGAGGUUCUAACCUUGGUCCGUUAUCCGGAUCGGGGACAGUGCAUGGUAGGCAGUUUGACUGGGGCGGUCUCCUCCUAAAGUGUAACGGAGGAGUUCGAAGGUACGCUAGGUACGGUCGGACAUCGUGCUAAUAGUGCAAUGGCAUAAGCGUGCUUAACUGCGAGACCGACAAGUCGAGCAGGUACGAAAGUAGGACAUAGUGAUCCGGUGGUUCUGUAUGGAAGGGCCAUCGCUCAACGGAUAAAAGGUACUCUGGGGAUAACAGGCUGAUUCCUCCCAAGAGUUCAUAUCGACGGGGGAGUUUGGCACCUCGAUGUCGGCUCAUCACAUCCUGGGGCUGUAGCCGGUCCCAAGGGUAUGGCUGUUCGCCAUUUAAAGUGGUACGUGAGCUGGGUUUAAAACGUCGUGAGACAGUUUGGUCCCUAUCUGCCGUGGGCGUUGGAAAUUUGAAGGGGGCUGCUCCUAGUACGAGAGGACCGGAGUGGACGAACCUCUGGUGUACCGGUUGUCACGCCAGUGGCAUUGCCGGGUAGCUAAGUUCGGAAGAGAUAACCGCUGAAAGCAUCUAAGCGGGAAACUUGCCUUGAGAUGAGAUUUCCCGGAGCCUUGAGCUCCUUGAAGGGUCGUUCGAGACCAGGACGUUGAUAGGCUGGGUGUGGAAGUGCAGUAAUGCAUUAAGCUAACCAGUACUAAUUGCCCGUACGGCUUGUCCCUAUAACCUUGGUAGGCUAUA
This 859-nucleotide ribosomal RNA is filed under the name Massilia consociata. RNAcentral describes it as "bacterial LSU rRNA". It matches the Rfam family "Bacterial large subunit ribosomal RNA", at positions 2090 to 2925 of the family's 2925-position model. Lineage: Bacteria; Pseudomonadati; Pseudomonadota; Betaproteobacteria; Burkholderiales; Oxalobacteraceae. The record is from RNAcentral.